CCCAAUCAGCAGUCGGACGUGCUCCUCCCACCUCCAGCUACUCCAAAGCCUCCCUAGGCCAUGAUUGCUCCACUGUCACCUGAAGACAAGAAAAAGAAGACAAAAUGAAAUAAUAUUAAAAGAAGAAAAUUGAAAGAGAGGGGGGGUCAGCAGCCAAGAAAGGAAGCAAGAAAGAAAAAAACAACAAAAUCAAGCAAAAAACAGCAGCGAAAAGCCCCACGCCGCCGCGUCCACCGCCGUCCCUCACCACCAGCCGUCGUUCCCCCAUCCACCAAAGACAAAGAAAGCCAAUAAAAAAAAAAGCAAAGACAAAGAAAAAAAACAGCAAACAAAAAAGGGAAAAAAAGAGCAAAGAAAGAAAAUAAAAAGAAGAAAAGAGGGGAGAGGAGAGCUCCUCCGCCGCCGUCGACCGUCGCAUCGGGCUGGGAGGAGCACUGUCGGGGCUGAUCGGGAAAGAAAGAAGAAAGAAAGAAGAAAAGGGGAAGAAGAAAGAAGAAAAAAAUAAUAAAAAAUUAAUUCAGUCAGGUCAAACCAACCCGACCCGACCCAAUACGACCCGUGCCCGACCCAGCAUCCCAGUAGGCCCACACAGCAGUCAAAAAAAAAGACCCAGAAAAAAAAAGAAGAGCAGCAGAAAAAAAACAGCCCAGCAGCUUCAAAGCAGGCCUGUCCAGUAGCAGGCCCAACGCAGGCAGCCCAGCAGCAACAAAGCAGGCCUGUCCAGCAGCAGGCCCAAUCAGCAGGCGGCCCAGCAGAAAAAGCAGGCUGUCCAGCAGGCCCAGGCCCAAUCCGAAGCAGGCCGAGAAAGGAAAAAGGAAGGGCUCAAUUUGUGUAACCCGUUCGACCAAGCUCGUGUUUUGGAUCUUUUCGGUAAUUUUGUUUAUUUCACUUUUAAUUUAAUACCCGUAUUUUUAUGCUAUUCCGUUUUAAUAUUACUGGUACUUUUAUGCAUUUUUAUAUUUUUGUAUUUAUAUUUUUUAUUUAAUCCAAUUUUAAUUUUAUUUUA
This 1006-nucleotide long non-coding RNA is filed under the name Gossypium raimondii (Peruvian cotton). RNAcentral describes it as "long non-coding RNA (GRAI_LNC005773)". Lineage: Eukaryota; Viridiplantae; Streptophyta; Magnoliopsida; Malvales; Malvaceae. The record is from RNAcentral.